Molecule: long non-coding RNA, 337 nt
Organism: Artibeus jamaicensis (Jamaican fruit-eating bat)
Lineage: Eukaryota; Metazoa; Chordata; Mammalia; Chiroptera; Phyllostomidae
Exons: 3
Source: RefSeq, a predicted model, not a curated record
GAAUUCAGUUUCUGGGCCAGCUGAUACUGGCUGGAUAUUCACGAUGUGCCGAGGACUGUGCUCAGUGCUUUAUGUGUCCCUUCUAAGAAUGUAUGUGCAUGUCACACGAGCCUAGGAGGGCAGAAAGGAUGCCCCUUUAAUAGAUCAGAGUGGGCCAACUGGAUAUUUACAUGGAAAAAAUGGAUCUGGAGUUGUAUCACACAUACUACGCACAAAUCGGUUCCAGAUGUGCUAUAGUUCUACAAGUAAAAGGACACAAGGAGAAGAAGGCCAUUGAUAAACCAGGGGAGCUCUCACCAGACACCAGAUCUGUGGAUGCCUUCAUCUUGGACUUCCA